AGAGUUUGAUCCUGGCUCAGAACGAACGCUGGCGGCAUGGAUUAGGCAUGCAAGUCGAACGAGAAGCUUAAGCUUGCUUAAGUGGAAAGUGGCGAAAGGGGUGAGUAACGCGUGAGUAACUUGCCCCCAAGUUGGGAAUAACACUUCGAAAGGAGUGCUAAUACCGAAUGUAGAUUUAAUAUCGCAUGUUAUUAUUUCUAAAGAUUUAUCGCUUGGGGAUGGGCUCGCGUCCCAUUAGCUUGUUGGUAGGGUAAUGGCCUACCAAGGCGACGAUGGGUAGCUGGUCUGAGAGGACGAUCAGCCACACUGGGACUGAGACACUGCCCAGACUCCUACGGGAGGCUGCAGUCGAGAAUCUUCCGCAAUGCGCGAAAGCGUGACGGAGCGAUGCCGCGUGCAGGAUGAAGGCCUUCGGGUCGUAAACUGCUGUCACCGGGGAAGAAUAAAUGACGGUACCCGGAGAGGAAGCCACGGCUAACUACGUGCCAGCAGCCGCGGUAAUACGUAGGUGGCGAGCGUUGUUCGGAUUUAUUGGGCGUAAAGGGUCCGCAGGGGGUUUAUUAAGUCUGGUGUGAAAUCCCGAAGCUCAACUUCGGAACUGCAUUGGAUACUGGUAAACUAGAGUAUCGGAGAGGAAAGUGGAAUUCCAGGUGUAGCGGUGGAAUGCGUAGAUAUCUGGAAGAACACCAACAGCGAAGGCAGCUUUCUGGACGAUUACUGACCCUCAUGGACGAAAGCGUGGGUAGCGAACAGGAUUAGAUACCCUGGUAGUCCACGCCGUAAACGUUGUGUACUUGAUGUGGGGGGAUUUAGCCCCCUCCGUGUCGGAGCUAACGCGUUAAGUACACCGCCUGGGGACUACGGCCGCAAGGCUAAAACUCAAAGGAAUUGACGGGGGCCCGCACAAGCGGUGGAGCAUGUGGCUUAAUUCGAGGCAACGCGAAGAACCUUACCUGGAUUUGACAUAUACUUGACAGCUGGUGAAAGUCGGUUUUCUCUUCGGAGCAGGUAUACAGGUGCUGCAUGGCUGUCGUCAGCUCGUGCCGUGAGGUGUUCGGUUAAGUCCGGCAACGAGCGCAACCCAUGUCUUUAGUUGCUAACAGAUAAUGCUGAGGACUCUAGAGAGACUGCCCGUGUUAAGCGGGAGGAAGGCGUGGAUGACGUCAAGUCCGUAUGGCCUUUAUAUCCAGGGCUGCACACGUGCUACAAUGGCUGGUACAAUGGGACGCAAUGCCGCGAGGUGGAGCAAAUCCUGAAAACCAGUCUUAGUUCGGAUUGUAGUCUGCAACUCGACUACAUGAAGUCGGAAUCGCUAGUAAAGGCGUAUCAGCUACGACGCCUUGAAUACGUUCCCGGGCCUUGUACACACCGCCCGUCACAUCAUGGAAGCUGAUUGCACCCGAAGUCAUUGAUCCAACCCGUUAAGGGCGGAAGAUGCCGAAGGUGUGCUUAGUAACUGGGAUGAAGUCGUAACAAGGUA
This 1480-nucleotide ribosomal RNA is filed under the name metagenome. RNAcentral describes it as "bacterial SSU rRNA". It matches the Rfam family "Bacterial small subunit ribosomal RNA". The record is from RNAcentral.